Long non-coding RNA from Heterocephalus glaber (naked mole-rat), 1599 nucleotides. NCBI's taxonomy places the organism in Eukaryota, Metazoa, Chordata, Mammalia, Rodentia, Bathyergidae. The record is from Ensembl.
UUGAGAUAAAUUCUCACAAGUAGCCCAGGCUGUCCUCACCUCAGCCCUGCCUCACCAUCCCUAGUCCUGGGAUUACAGGUGUUUGCCACCACACUUGGCUUCAAGUUACUUGAGUAUCGUAGCUGCAUCCCAAUGCUGAGGAGGUAGCUCAGUGGGAGAAUGUUAGCAUGCACAAGGCCCUGAGUUUGAUUUCCAGCAACAACAAAAAAUUUUUUUUUCUUCAAAGCCCAAGAAGGAAACAAGGGCCAGGUGUGGUGCAGCCCAGUAAUUCCAGCACUCUUGGGAGGGCGAAACAGGAAGAUCACAUUUUAGCCCAGUCCUGGGCAAAUUAGUCCUUGUCUCAAAGCCAAAGGAUGCAGUUCAGUGCAAAGGCUCUUGGGUUCAAUCCCCCAGUACCUUAAACAGGACUGAGGAUGUAGCUUAGUGUAAAGGCCCUAGGUUCAACCCCCAACACCCAUAAGUAAGGAAAGGGAGAUGGCUGUAUCGCCCUGAGAAGGCUAGAAUACCUGUUGAAGACUAACAGUUAAACCACAUAAUUGAAUGCAAGCCAUCAGUAUGGUGGUGCACACCUGUAACCCCAGCUACUCUUGAGGCUGAGGCAGGAUCUUUUUGGGUUCUAGGGCAGCCUGGACUCUUUAAGAAACCAUUUUGAAAAGGCGGGUGGGGGACACAGCUGGGCACGUAGCUCAUUGCUUAGUAAUCCCUCACUUUAAAGGUUUUUAAAAGCCAGGCAGGGUGGUGCACACCUGUAAUUUCAGCACUGCAAAGCUGAAGCAGAAGGAUCACAAGUUUGAACCUGCCCAGGCAACUUAGCAAGACCCUGUCUAAAAAAUAGUCUUUUUAAAGGCCUGGGGAUGUAACGCAGUGCAAAGGCCCUGAGUUCAAUCUCCAGUUACCCAAAAGAAAUGAAAAACAUGCUCAUUAAAAGACUUGGACAAGAGCUGGGAUUUAGCUCAGUGGUUUCGCUGCCUGCUGCACAAGCGCAAGGACCCGAGUUUGAUCCUCGGUACCAAAAAAAAAAAAAGACUUGAACAAGACUGUUCAGCAGUUUAUUUGUAAUAUUCAAAAUCGCAGGGGGGGGGGCAAAUGUCCAUCCAUUUGGUAAAUGCAUAAAUUGUAUAUUCCUACACUAAAAUACUACCAAGCAACAAAAAAUAGGCUGAGGAGCUGGAGGUGUAGCUCAGUGCCAGAUGGAUCGCUUGCCUUACAAUGGAUGAAGCCGUGCGUUGAUCCCCUAGAUCACAAAAAAAGGGGGAAAAAAUAAAAUGGGGGUUGUGGUGGAAUUGGGUAAGCUUAUAAGAGGGCAACAUGAGAUCCUUGAAGUGAUAUAACCACAUACUUUAUCUUGAAGAUGGUGAAUACUUGAACUGAUGUGAUAAAAUUGUAGAGAAAAGUGUAAGAUCUACUGCAAACAUGUACUGAUAAAAUUUAUAAGUGUAAGACCAGUAGACUGUUACUGUCAUCCUGAUUGUGAUACUGUAUUACAGUUUUGCAAGCUGUUACUGUUGGGGAAACUGGGCAAAUGGUAUAGAAGAGCUGUCAGUUAUUUCUUACAACUGCAUGUAAACCUAUAAUCUCAAUAAAAAUUUUAAUAGAAAA